AACUUGGGACACUGUGUGCAAGCGUAAUCUAGCAAUGCCGCGUGCAGGCUGAAUGACUUCGGUUUGUAAACUACUUUUGUACGGAACGAAAAGUAUCGGCUCAAUACCCUGGGACCUUGAUGGAACCGUAAGUUUAAGAACCGCCUAACUACGUUCCACCACCCGCGGUAAUACGUAGGGUGCAAGCGUUAAUCGGAAUUACUGGGCGUAAAGCGUGCGCAGGCGGUUUUGUAAGACAGUGGUGAAAUCCCCGGGCUCAACCUGGGAACUGCCAUUGUGACUGCAAGGCUGGAGUGCGGCAGAGGGGGAUGGAAUUCCGCGUGUAGCAGUGAAAUGCGUAGAUAUGCGGAGGAACACCGAUGGCGAAGGCAAUCCCCUGGGCCUGCACUGACGCUCAUGCACGAAAGCGUGGGGAGCAAACAGG
RNAcentral lists this ribosomal RNA (424 nucleotides) under uncultured bacterium. RNAcentral describes it as "partial 16S ribosomal RNA". It matches the Rfam family "Bacterial small subunit ribosomal RNA", at positions 359 to 776 of the family's 1533-position model. The record is from RNAcentral.